AGCCACCCAGACGCCCCGAAAUCUGGGCCUGGGGAGUUGAACACUGGCCUGUGUGAAUUUCCAACUCCAGACCCUCAGUGAUAAUGACAGAAGGGAAGAAGAGGAUUUGGAAAUCAUUCAGCAAGUCUAAUAAUAUACACAGCAUUUCUUUUUCAACUGGAUGGACCCUCAAUCUUCACCAUCAUCACAUUAAAUAUCUUAUUAUACUUUGGAUUCCAUGAAGUCAGCAAUUUCCUCUGCUAUAUAUAAAACAUGAUAGAAGUGCUAUAUUUUAAGACAAAAAAAGAAUAAGACAAGAAAACAAAAAUCAAAUAAAGCUUAGAAAAAAAUACAACUGUAAUUUAUAUCAAGUUAAAGAAGAAAACCAGAACUGUUUAUUCAUAGAGGUUCCGGAAGAUACUGGAUAAAAUCCUACCAACAUCCUUAAUAAAAAGUCUAAGUAGAUAGAAAUAAAAUACCAAGCA
This is a long non-coding RNA of Neomonachus schauinslandi (Hawaiian monk seal), 464 nucleotides long. RefSeq lists it as uncharacterized. Lineage: Eukaryota; Metazoa; Chordata; Mammalia; Carnivora; Phocidae. The transcript has 3 exons. The record is from RefSeq and is a predicted model, not a curated record.